Molecule: long non-coding RNA, 1463 nt
Organism: Mya arenaria
Lineage: Eukaryota; Metazoa; Mollusca; Bivalvia; Myida; Myidae
Exons: 5
Source: RefSeq, a predicted model, not a curated record
CUACCCAGUAUUGGUUGUUUCUUUUUUCUGAAAAGAUGUUUCUAGUGAAUUGCCAAGUUGCAGUGGUUUUGACGCCACAGAACCAGCACAGCUCCAUGACAGAUAUAUAUGUUUUCGUCAUUGAUGUCAGUACUGCUGUAUUGGUGGCCUCACAAUUUCUGUGUGGAAAUGUCAUCUGAUACACUCAUAACGGCGUAUUUCUAGCAUAGCUUUCAUAAGUGCAUGGCCAUUCUCUGUCAUUUUCAGAUACACUGUGUUGUGUGUGGAUAAGAAAUGCAGAGUGGUACCACCAAUCACCUAAGCCACCAUUCCCCUAACAGACAAAAGGCUCAUGGGGACAGUUCCUGCAGUUUACAGCAAAUUGUAGCCCUACAAACUUCAGAUACUGCCAAGCUUGGGUGCACUGGGCCGGUUAUCCAGCCGUGUGGAAUCAACAUCUCCAGCUGAACUUGGGCCGGGAAUUAUAUAAGAAUCCUUAGCAGCAUGAGUGCCAGCCAGUCAUUGCUGUUCUUUGCAUUGCUGAGGAGGACAGUCCUGCCAACAUAACAGUUUGUUCAAUAACAGGAGACAAACAGAAACACAGAGGUGCUAUACAUUCCGAUGGAAAAUACAACAAAAGCAUCUCCCAUCAUUUUGGCGUGGCUCAGAUCAAGAGGAGAAUUUUAAGAAAGGUGAUGGUUGGGCACACACAAGAAGACAUAGAUCACAUGUGUCCAGGCAUAUGAGUAGACAGGAGUUUCACACUCUGCCAAACUUACUUCAUCAGAGGAGCAGAAAGCUUCUCAAGAUCCCGCACUGCACACUCAGAUAUAGUCUUUGACUACAACAAGGGGAUGAAAGUACAGAGAGGUCCAAUUGAAAUCAAUUCUGUGCUGCGUCAUUUCUUCAUUCUGGAAGUCGAUGGACAUGAUUUAUCAUGGCAUCAGGUGUGCAGUUUGUCGACUAUCAGCAGUCUUGUUCAUUAGUUGUGCAACUUGAGCUGGUAGCUUUAUUGCUUGAAGCCACAGCAUAAGAGGGGGAAGGUGCAGGCUCAUCAAAAAGUCUCAAAAGUUGAAACUAGGAAAAGAAGUUUGUCAAGAGUGUGAAUAUUUGCUUUGAAAACCAUCGUUACGAUGAUUUGGUUUCCUUUGAAACUUGAUACAUACUAUGUGUAUGUUGAAUGAAUUGAGAUGCUUAAAUAAAGAACCGCUAUUCAAAUAUCAGGAAACUGCAUUUUUCAUACUAAAGGGUAAAUGAUGUCGCCAUUUCCUGUAUGUAUUUAAAUGAGAUAUGUUUCCACAAUUAAUAUUUUUAGGGAAUUUUUCUCAUCCUAAUGAAUGAGAUUAAAUUGUACAGCGUUAUAUGAGCUUAAUAUGUGUUUUCUGUUUCUUUAAAAUUGGUGAAAAAUUGUCAGAAGAUAAUUAGACCAGUAUCCAUUACUGCAAUCAUACAAUCAAAUAUACAGGGCAUAUAAUAUAAUUAAA